CUCAGACCUCAUCUCGUGUGACUACACCCUGAAAUUUUACAUAUCUCAACGGGAAGAAAAAA
RNAcentral lists this ribosomal RNA (62 nucleotides) under Hornodermoporus latissimus. RNAcentral's name for it is "partial 28S ribosomal RNA". Lineage: Eukaryota; Fungi; Basidiomycota; Agaricomycetes; Polyporales; Polyporaceae. The record is from RNAcentral.